Molecule: ribosomal RNA, 366 nt
Filed under: Providencia rettgeri
Lineage: Bacteria; Pseudomonadati; Pseudomonadota; Gammaproteobacteria; Enterobacterales; Morganellaceae
Description: partial 23S ribosomal RNA
Rfam family: Bacterial large subunit ribosomal RNA
Source: RNAcentral
CGCAGAUACCAGCUGGCUGCAACUGUUUAUUAAAAACACAGCACUGUGCAAACACGAAAGUGGACGUAUACGGUGUGACGCCUGCCCGGUGCUGGAAGGUUAAUUGAUGGGGUUAUCCGUAAGGAGAAGCUCUUGAUCGAAGCCCCAGUAAACGGCGGCCGUAACUAUAACGGUCCUAAGGUAGCGAAAUUCCUUGUCGGGUAAGUUCCGACCUGCACGAAUGGCGUAAUGAUGGCCAGGCUGUCUCCACCCGAGACUCAGUGAAAUUGAACUCGCUGUGAAGAUGCAGUGUACCCGCGGCAAGACGGAAAGACCCCGUGAACCUUUACUAUAGCUUGACACUGAACAUUGAGCCUUGAUGUGUAG